RNAcentral lists this ribosomal RNA (251 nucleotides) under uncultured prokaryote. Its description in RNAcentral is "partial 16S rRNA". It matches the Rfam family "Bacterial small subunit ribosomal RNA", at positions 525 to 775 of the family's 1533-position model. The record is from RNAcentral.
ACGGAGGGAGCAAGCGUUGUUCGGAUUUACUGGGCGUAAAGGGCGUCUAGGCUGAUUUGAAAGUCAGAUGUGAAACCCCCCGGCUCAACCGGGGACCUGCAUUUGAUACUGCAAGUCUUGAGUACGGAAGAGGUGAGAGGAAUUCCUGGUGUUGUGGUGAGAUGCUGUAUUCCUUGAGGGACCAUUUGAGGGGAAGGCGUCGCAGCGGGCCGGUUGCGAAAGUGAAGAGCGAUAGUGGGUGGCGCGAAGCG